CACUCCUGUUUCUGCUCUGCACUCAUGCCCAUUGAGUGUUGGAUUCUGUUUAAUGGAGAAGAAUAAGCUCGUCAACGGGUCAAUGAAAUUUUGUAACCUUCGCUGAUACUUUUGACGGGAUCGUGCUGUCAGUAGUUCGUGGAAGGCAUUACCCUUUUUGGGACCAAUGCCGGGCUGCUGUAUCUACAUUU
RNAcentral lists this small nucleolar RNA (191 nucleotides) under Metschnikowia bicuspidata var. bicuspidata NRRL YB-4993. RNAcentral describes it as "Small nucleolar RNA snR43". It matches the Rfam family "Small nucleolar RNA snR43". Lineage: Eukaryota; Fungi; Ascomycota; Pichiomycetes; Serinales; Metschnikowiaceae. The record is from Rfam by way of RNAcentral.